GUGCUGGCUUCAGCAGUGCAUAUUCUAAAACUGGAAUGAUAUAUAAAGACUAGCAUGGGCUCUGUGAAAGCAGGACAUGCAAAUUCAUGAAGCAUUCCAUAUUUUU
Small nuclear RNA from Octodon degus (degu), 106 nucleotides. The record is from Ensembl. NCBI's taxonomy places the organism in Eukaryota, Metazoa, Chordata, Mammalia, Rodentia, Octodontidae.